RNAcentral lists this long non-coding RNA (1614 nucleotides) under Selaginella moellendorffii. Its description in RNAcentral is "long non-coding RNA (SMOE_LNC000818)". Lineage: Eukaryota; Viridiplantae; Streptophyta; Lycopodiopsida; Selaginellales; Selaginellaceae. The record is from RNAcentral.
CCAAGCUCAAGAAGGCCAGCCGCAAAGUGGUGGCCGUGCACAAUCCCUGGAGGAAACAAAGAGACCCGACUGGAUUCACGACUGGAAGCAUGAGACCACAAGGGAGGAUUUGUAAUUACCUUCCUACUCCUCACUCAACUGGACCCCAAAAUACACUGAAAACAUGUCAAAACACCAGCUAAGGUGAUGAGCUAUUCCUUUUGUCCUCUUUUUUGGUCUUUUGAAUUACUCAACUUAGCUUUGACCGGGGUCACAGCUGUAAACCUUCAAAGAUAACAGAUAACUUUAACGAGAACGCCGAAAUCGAGUAUCUCCGACAAGCCAUGCUCGCCCAAAAUGAGAAAUAAAAACUGUCGCGAUAUUAUGAAGCACUUUGGUGUUUUAGAAACAAUGAGACUGUUGCGUCCCAGAACUAUCGAACAACGCUCUGCAACCAUAUGCCAAGAAAGAUAAGUUAUAAACAUGACGAAAUCAAGGACGAACCCUUCCGCCACAACCGCUUCCAGGAGGAAUAUAAACACAAGAAGUGUAUAUAAACACAAGCUUACCCGGGCAUUUGUGCAGAAGCGCCAUGGGUCUCACGAAGAGCAACCUCUGGUACACAAUCGUGGCUUCCAUUUUUGUUCUUACAGCGGCCGCUCCACACAAGAAAGUGAGUAUUAGAACUGAAUGUUGGUUGUCGCCAAAGGACAUUUUCCACUCAUCAUCCCUGCACAGGCAUACAUCGUUUACAUGGGUGAGAAAUCGCACAAAGACCAUAAUGUCGUGCACGCACAAGUUCAUUCCUUCCUGGCGGAUACACUCGGAACGUAAGACAUUAGAUGCUUUCUAAACAUGCAUACCCAUACCUUUGGUUGAAUUGUUGAUACAGCCUUGAGGAAGCGCAGAGGAAUAUGAUACACACCUACAAGCGCAGCUUCACUGGGUUUUCGGCCAUGCUCACCGACGACCAAGCUGCACAGAUAAAAAGUACGAGUUAAUAAGAAGGACAAUAUGUAUAUGCUUACCUUUGGUCGCAGGGAGAGAAGAGGUUGUUUCGAUUUUCCCAAGCAAGAGUCACAAGCUCCAUACAACCCAUUCCUGGGACUUUUUGAAUACCAUCGACUCUUUCCCGGCGCAGAACAGCGAUCCCAGUGGUUGUGAGGCCUCUGGCCAAGACAUUAUUGUUGGCGUCUUUGACUCUGGUAAAUAACGAGUUUAUCAAGAUACACAUACCAAACCAUCAAGUUCUGCAGGUAUCUGGCCGGAGUCCAAGAGCUUCAACGACGUAGGCAUGCCACCGAUACCAAGAAAAUGGAAGGGAGCUUGCCAGGAUGGAGAACAGUUCACUGCACGUAAUUGCAACAAGUAAGAAGUCAAACUCCGAAACUAUUGUUUUCAGACGAUCUCACAUGGAUGCCAAAAUGCCAGCAAGUUGAUUGGAGCACGCUUUUACACAAACGGAUACGAUGCCAGCGACCCUGAGCUGCAAAAAACCUUCAUCAAAUCUGCACGGGAUACGGACGGACACGGGACACAUACCACGUCAACUGCAGCGGGAAGGAUUGUCAACGGCAUAAGCUUCCCGGGAGGCCUUGGAGCUGGAGCUGCUAGGGGAGGAAGUCCAAACUCGAG